UAGUCCACGCCGUAAACGAUGAGAGCUAGUUGUCUGCAAGCAUGCUUGUAGGUGACGCAGCUAACGCAUUAAGCUCUCCGCCUGGGGAGUACGGUCGCAAGAUUAAAACUCAAAGAAAUUGACGGGGGCCCGCACAAGCGGUGGGGCAUGUGGUUUAAUUCGAAGCAACGCGCAGAACCUUACCUACCCUUGACAUGCCGGUCGCGAUUUCCAGAGAUGGAUUUCUUCAAUUCGGUUGGACCGUGCACAGGUGCUGCAUGGCUGUCGUCAGCUCGUGUCGUGAGAUGUUGGGUUAAGUCCCGCAACGAGCGCAACCCUCAUCACUAGUUGCCAGCAUUACCUUCGGGUAGAUGGGGACUCUAGUGAGACUGCCGGCGUAAGCCGCGAGGAAGGUGGGGACGACGUCAAAUCAUCAUGGCCUUUAUGUCUAGGGCGACACACGUGCUACAAUGGUAGGGACAGAGGGUAGCUAAGCAGCGAUGUGGUGCUAA
RNAcentral lists this ribosomal RNA (491 nucleotides) under uncultured bacterium. RNAcentral describes it as "bacterial SSU rRNA". It matches the Rfam family "Bacterial small subunit ribosomal RNA", at positions 791 to 1271 of the family's 1533-position model. The record is from RNAcentral.